RNAcentral lists this ribosomal RNA (504 nucleotides) under uncultured bacterium. RNAcentral describes it as "partial 16S ribosomal RNA". It matches the Rfam family "Bacterial small subunit ribosomal RNA", at positions 29 to 523 of the family's 1533-position model. The record is from RNAcentral.
AUUGAACGCUGGCGGCAGGCCUAACACAUGCAAGUCGAACGGGAGCACAGAGAGCUUGCUCUCGGGUGACGAGUGGCGGACGGGUGAGUAACGUCUGGGAAACUGCCCGAUGGAGGGGGAUAACUACUGGAAACGGUAGCUAAUACCGCAUAACGUCGCAAGACCAAAGUGGGGGACCUUCGGGCCCCACACCAUCGGAUGUGCCCAGAUGGGAUUAGCUAGUAGGUGGGGUAAUGGCUCACCUAGGCGACGAUCCCUAGCUGGUCUGAGAGGACGACCAGCGAACAUGGAAAGGAGACACGGUCCAGACUCCUACGGGAGGCAGCAGUGGGGAAUAUUGCACAAUGGGCGCAAGCCUGAUGCAGCCAUGCCGCGUGUAUGAAGAAGGCCUUCGGGUUGUAAAGUACUUUCAGCGGGGAGGAAGGCGGUGAAGUUAAUAGCUUCACCGAUUGACGUUACCCGCAGAAGAAGCACCGGCUAACUCCGUGCCAGCCGCCGCCGUAA